CGGCCGCGCCACUUCCUCUGACGUCACCGGUCAGAGGUGACCGGCAAGAUGUCCGCAGGCGGCGGCGGCCGCUUAGAGCUCCUGUAGCGCGGCUCAUCUGUGUGACAGGGGCCGGGCGGAGGCGGCUGAGAGUGGUCGGGGAGGGGACAGGAGGCGGAGGACGGGUGGCUAGGCGCUCCGGGUGCACGGGCCGCUACCGGGAAUGCGCUGCAGCGCCCCGUGCAGCCUGAAAGGCGAGCCCCGCAGGAGCUCUUCAUGCCGCCCACCGGCUUAGAGUCCUCCAGGAUGAACAGGAAGAAAGGAGACAAGGGCUUCGAAAGCCCACGGCCGUACAAAUUAACCCAUCAGGUCGUCUGUAUCAACAACAUAAACUUCCAGCGAAAAUCAGUUGUGGGAUUUGUGGAGCUGACUAUAUUUCCCACAGUUGCCAACUUGAAUAGAAUUAAGUUGAACAGUAAACAGUGUAGAAUAUACCGAGUCCGGAUCAAUGACUUGGAGGCCGCUUUUAUUUAUAAUGAUCCAACCUUAGAAGUUUGUCACAGUGAAUCGAAACAGAGAAACCUCAAUUAUUUUUCCAAUGCGUAUGCAGCUGCAGUCAGUGCUGUGGACCCUGAUGCGGGGAAUGGAGAACUCUGCAUUAAGGUUCCCUCAGAGCUCUGGAAACAUGUCGAUGGUAAAGCACCAGAGUUGAAGGUCCUGAAGAUACAUAUUAAUUUUUCUUUGGAUCAACCAAAAGGAGGUCUUCAUUUUGUGGUACCCAGUGUAGAGGGGAGUAUGGCAGAGAGAGGUGCUCAUGUCUUCUCUUGCGGGUAUCAAAAUUCUACAAGAUUUUGGUUCCCGUGUGUCGAUUCAUACUCUGAGCUGUGUACCUGGAAGUUAGAAUUUACAGUAGAUGCUGCAAUGGUAGCCGUGUCCAAUGGAGAUUUGGUGGAGACCGUGUAUACCCAUGACAUGAGGAAGAAGACCUUCCAUUAUAUGCUUACUAUUCCUACUGCAGCAUCCAAUAUCUCCUUGGCCAUUGGACCAUUUGAAAUACUCGUGGAUCCAUACAUGCAUGAGGUUACCCAUUUUUGUUUGCCUCAACUUCUUCCGUUACUUAAACAUACUACGUCAUACAUUCACGAAGUUUUUGAAUUUUAUGAAGAAAUUUUGACUUGUCGCUAUCCGUACUCCUGUUUUAAGACGGUCUUCAUUGAUGAGGCAUAUGUUGAAGUGGCCGCUUACGCUUCUAUGAGCAUUUUCAGCACAAACCUUCUGCACAGCGCCAUGAUUAUAGACGAGACGCCGCUGACCAGACGGUGCUUGGCACAGGCUUUAGCACAGCAGUUCUUCGGAUGUUUCAUAUCCAGGAUGUCUUGGUCUGAUGAAUGGGUGCUGAAGGGAAUUUCAGGCUAUAUUUAUGGACUGUGGAUGAAAAAAACAUUCGGAGUCAAUGAGUACCACCAUUGGAUUAAAGAGGAGCUAGAUAAAAUAGUGGCGUAUGAACUGAAAACUGGGGGAGUUUUGCUUCAUCCCAUAUUUGGUGGUGGAAAAGAAAAGGAUAACCCCGCAUCUCACCUCCACUUUUCCAUAAAGCAUCCACAUACACUGUCCUGGGAGUACUACACUAUGUUCCAGUGUAAAGCUCACCUCGUGAUGAGACUGAUUGAAAACAGAAUCAGCAUGGAAUUUAUGCUGCAAGUUUUCAAUAAACUACUAAGUCUGGCCAGCACUGCUUCGUCUCAGAAGUUCCAGUCACAUAUGUGGAGCCAGAUGCUGGUUUCCACUUACGGGUUUUUGAAGUCCAUUUCCAAUGUCUCUGGCAAAGACAUCCAGCCCCUAAUAAAGCAGUGGGUAGACCAGAGUGGAGUGGUAAAGUUUUACGGAAGUUUUGCGUUUAAUAGAAAACGAAAUGUUUUAGAACUAGAAAUAAAGCAAGAUUACACAUCUCCUGGCACCCAGAAGUACGUGGGACCUCUUAAAGUGACAGUGCAAGAGUUAGAUGGAUCCUUCAACCAUACCUUGCAAAUUGAAGAAAACAGCCUUAAACAUGACAUACCCUGCCACUCCAAGAGCAGAAGGAAUAAGAAGAAAAAAAUCCCACUGAUGAAUGGGGAAGAAGUUGAUAUGGAUCUUUCUGCAAUGGAGUAAGUUACUUAAAAUGCUGAUUCCCCUUUGUUGUGGAUAAGGAUAGACCCAGAUAUGUCCGUCCUGAGGAAGGUGGAGUUUGAGCAGGCUGAUUUUAUGUGGCAGUAUGAGCUCCGCUAUGAGAGAGAUGUUGUUGCUCAGCAGGAAUCCAUCUUGGCCUUGGAAAAAUUCCCCACUCCGGCAUCGCGCCUUGCGCUCACUGAUAUACUAGAGCAAGAGCAGUGUUUCUACCGAGUCAGGAUGUCAGCGUGCUUCUGUCUUGCAAAGAUUGCCAACUCAAUGGUGAGCACGUGGACAGGGCCGCCAGCCAUGAAGUCUCUCUUUACUAGAAUGUUCUGCUGUAAAACCUGCCCCAACAUUGUGAAGACAAACAACUUCAUGAGUUUCCAAAGCUACUUUCUGCAGAAGACUAUGCCGGUUGCAAUGGCUUUGUUAAGAGAUGUACAUAACCUUUGUCCUAAAGAAGUUUUAACAUUUAUUUUAGACUUAAUCAAGUACAAUGACAACAGAAAAAAUAAGUUUUCAGAUAACUAUUAUCGUGCAGAAAUGAUUGAUGCCCUUGCUAACUCAGUUACACCUGCUGUCAGUGUGAAUAAUGAAGUCAGAACUUUGGAUAACUUAAAUCCUGAUGUGCGACUAAUUCUUGAAGAAAUAACCCGGUUUCUGAAUAUGGAAAAGCUUCUCCCAAGUUACAGACACACCAUCACUGUCAGUUGCUUGAGAGCCAUCCGGGUGCUUCAGAAGAACGGGCACGUGCCGAGUGAUGCAUCUCUCUUCAAAUCCUACGCCGAGUAUGGCCACUUUGUGGACAUCAGGAUAGCAGCUCUGGAAGCCGUCGUUGAUUACACUAAAGUGGACAGGAGUUAUGAAGAACUUCAGUGGCUACUUAAUAUGAUUCAGACUGACCCUGUUCCCUAUGUGAGGCAUAAGAUUCUAAACAUGCUGACUAAAAAUCCACCAUUUACAAAGAACAUGGAAUCUCCUUUAUGCAACGAAGCCCUGGUAGAUCAGCUCUGGAAGCUGAUGAAUUCUGGCACUGCACAUGACUGGAGGUUACGGUGUGGUGCUGUGGACUUGUACUUCACGCUGUUUGGCCUCAGCAGACCGUCUUGCUUACCCUUGCCAGAGCUCGGGCUUGUUCUUAACCUAAAAGAGAAGAAAGCUGUCUUGAAUCCUACCAUUAUUCCAGAAGCUGGAGUAGGCAACCAGGAGUCUGCGAGUAACCCAGGCUGCCACGCUCAGCUAGCUGGAUUCCAGAACCCUUUUUCAAGUUCUCAGGAUGAGGAGGAGGUUGACAUGGAUACUGUUCAUGACAGUCAAGCCUUCAUCUCCCAUCAUCUGAACAUGCUCGAAAGGCCGUCCACUCCAGGGCUCUCUAAGUACCGGCCGUCCGGCUCCAGAUCCUCCUUAAUGCCCCAGCAUUCAUUAGGCUGUGACAUCACACCACCCACAAAACCCCAGUGGAGUAUGGAGCUGUCCCGAAAGGGAGCAGGUAAAGAGCAGCCUUUGGAGAUGGGUGUGCAUUCCAUGGUGGCAGCCCCGCUCUCCAUGUUUGCUAAGGAGGCUCUGUCAUCGCGACACAGCGAGCACCAUCACCACCAUCACCAUGAGCACAAGAAGAAGAAGAAGAAGCACAAGCACAAACACAAGCACAAGCACAAGCACGACAGCAAGGACAAGGACAGGGAGCCCUUCGCCUUCUCCAGCCCUGCCAGCGGCAGGUCUGUGCGCUCCCCCUCACUCUCAGACUGAAGCCUGGUCCUCUGUGGAGACACAAGCAGGGAGUGUGGAGAGACUGCAGAGGAUGUCUAUUUGUAUGCCUGAGGUUUAUAUAGGAAUGAGUGUAUUGGCUCUGGAUGAAUGUUCCCCCCACCCCAGUCCCCCCCAUUCUUCCUGAAAACAGAGGAUGACUUUUAUAAAAGCCUUCCUGUCCACUGCAGGCCCAUUCAGAUGCUGGUCUCCUGUGGACCCACAAAGUCAGGUAUGCUUGAAAGCCUUUGAUGGAUGUCAGAGGCAGAAGGACCUUUUCAACAGAAACAACUGCCAGAUCUGUGGGACCCAGCGGUUCCAUGAAGUGCUGAAUACCGCCACUUGGAAUUGCUGGAGAGGCUGUUGUGUAGGACUCAAUCCCUCGACUGCUUUUUGUGUUAGCCAUUGAAACUGAACACCGUCAUUUAUGAGCAAAGAGUCUUAUAUUUCUUUUUACCCUAAAGUACAAAAAGUUUUGAAAGAAAUUAUUUUUUAAAAAAUUUAAAGUAACUAUCUUUUGGUAGUACAUUUGGUGAUUAUGAUGUUGCAAUGUAGCAGAUGCAACAUUAUUCUCCAGUCAAGAUGUUUAAAUUAUGUUUUGUUUUGUCUUCCAUUAAGUGCAAGUGAAUGUGUUCAUAUGUAAAAUAUCUCUUGCUGAAUGUGGACAGUUUACACACUUAACACAUAUUCUUUCUAAAAUUACUCUGUACAUAAUAAGCCAGGCAUGGUUGUGCAUGCCUGUAAUUCCAGCAGUUGGGAAGUCGGAGGAUCAUUCAAGGCCAGCCCGAGAUACAUGAGAAUCUGUGUCAAAAAAGCAAAGUGACAAACGUUACUCUGUCUAACAAAACAUGAUACUCUGAAAGGGUGUCUUUAUUUGCUGUUUGCGAGCUUGGAUAUAGAUAAUUUGGCCCACACUGGAGUAUACCAGCAACAGUUUAAAAUACAUGUGCCAUGCUUUGGUUUCGUAUUUUAAAAGUUUGUAUGGUUUUAUGUUUUGGUUUUGAUUUUAGGUUUUUGGUUUUCUGAAUUUACCAGGUUCUGUGUUAAAAAAUAUUUUCAUAUCUAUUCAGUUUUAUUAUUUCUUUUGUUACUAAAUAUUUGACUCAUUUCUUGAUCUCAGAAUAAAUAUUUCAAAGGGGAUCCAAAAAUGCUGGACUUUUAAAUAUACUUUUAGUUAUAUUUAACUUGUUUAAUAAAUAACUUUUUAAGUUGGACA
RNA transcript from Mus musculus (house mouse), 5092 nucleotides. It is a transcript of the gene named TATA-box binding protein associated factor 2, with no coding region annotated. Lineage: Eukaryota; Metazoa; Chordata; Mammalia; Rodentia; Muridae. The record is from RefSeq and is marked validated. The transcript is spliced from 26 exons.